Molecule: ribosomal RNA, 1120 nt
Filed under: uncultured bacterium
Lineage: Bacteria
Description: bacterial SSU rRNA
Rfam family: Bacterial small subunit ribosomal RNA
Source: RNAcentral
AGUGAGGAAUAUUGGUCAAUGGGCGCAAGCCUGAACCAGCCAUCCCGCGUGCAGGAAGACGGCCCUAUGGGUUGUAAACUGCUUUUCCAGGGAGAGAAACUUACGCACGUGUUGCGUGACUGACGGUACCCUGGGAAUAAGCAUCGGCUAACUCCGUGCCAGCAGCCGCGGUAAUACGGAGGAUGCAAGCGUUAUCCGGAUUCAUUGGGUUUAAAGGGUGCGUAGGCGGGCUAUUAAGUCAGUGGUGAAAUCCUGCAGCUUAACUGCAGAACUGCCGUUGAUACUGAUAGUCUUGAGUUUGGUUAAGGUAGGCGGAAUGUGUAAUGUAGCGGUGAAAUGCUUAGAUAUUACACAGAACACCAAUUGCGUAGGCAGCUUACUGAGCCGACACUGACGCUGAGGCACGAAAGCGUGGGGAUCAAACAGGAUUAGAUACCCUGGUAGUCCACGCCGUAAACGAUGAUUACUCGCUGUUGGCGAUACACUGUCAGCGGCUAAGCAAAAGCAAUAAGUAAUCCACCUGGGGAGUACGGCCGCAAGGUUGAAACUCAAAGGAAUUGACGGGGGCCCGCACAAGCGGAGGAACAUGUGGUUAAUUCGAUGAUACGCGAGGAACCUUACCUGGGCUUAAAUGUAGAGUGCAUUUUCUAGAGAUAGAAAUUCCCUUCGGGGCUUUCUGCAAGGUGCUGCAUGGUUGUCGUCAGCUCGUGCCGUGAGGUGUCGGGUUAAGUCCCAUAACGAGCGCAACCCUUAUCGUUAGUUGCCAGCUGGUAAAGCAGGGGACUCUAGCGAAACUGCCACCGUAAGGUGAGAGGAAGGUGGGGAUGACGUCAAAUCAGCACGGCCCUUAUGUCCAGGGCUACACACGUGUUACAAUGGCCGGUACAGAGGGCUGCUACCUGGUGACAGGAUGCUAAUCUCGAAAACCGGUCUCAGUUCGGAUCGAAGUCUGCAACUCGACUUCGUGAAGCCGGAUUCGCUAGUAAUCGCGCAUCAGCAACGGCGCGGUGAAUACGUUCCCGGGCCUUGUACACACCGCCCGUCAAGCCAUUGGAAGCUGGGGGUGCCUGAAGUCCGUAACCGCAAGGAGCGGCCUAGGGUAAAACUAGUGACUGGGGCU